GGCAGUGUAUUUGAAAGGGGAACGCUCUCCACAAACGUGGGUUACAGGCGUCUCCUAGCGGCGAAAGCAGCACAGGGCAAGCCAAUGCAUUUUGCUCGGGAGCUCUCGUUCGUCAGGACUCGCCUGUUGGGGGCUCUGCAGGCUUUCUUGGGUCUCAGAGGCCUGCAUCCGCGCCGGCGACGCCGUCCCGGGUCCUCUAGAGGUCUCGCCUCUCUGACUUCUAGUCUCCAAGGCGCCCUGAUCUCGGCGGGGUGAAGACGGGGUCUUCCUUCUGGCAGAGCUGACUUGAAUCCCGCGGUCCGCCUUCCUCUAAGUAGCUCCAGCCAACAGCAAUUCGAGAGCAUUUUGUCCCGGGCCAAGAUUCAAAUAUUGGCAUUAACAGCCAUCUCUGCCUCCUUACUCUGAUACCAUUAAAGAGCCCCACCCCGUCACCCAGGAAACACAAUACUUUAAAUCUGACAUUUAAAAAUGUCUCAAAAGUGUAACCUGUGUACUUUCUUCCUUGCUGUAUCAAGCAGAUUUUUUUCCCCUCUCCUUUUCCUUUUUCACUUGUCCUUCGGCGCACCCCAGAAUUUAGUGAGGCCAUGAUUACAUAAAUAACAGUCUCUGUGGUGAGAUCGACGAUUUCUUUGAAGUGCAGAAUUUCUUGCAAUGUAGCAAGAUCGAAUCCACUGGGAGAAGCAAGCAUGCCUUAGCAACCCAACGCUCUCUUCACCCCACGCCCCCUCUAGGAACACCAACCAUCUGGCCAAAACGAAGUGUAUCCUAAAACAUGAGGGAAGUAGGUAUUUUUUAUUUGGAGGGAGGGUUAUCAAAAUUAAUUUUCAUGAAAGUCCUGGUUGGCAUGUGAGUGAUAAUGCACCCUCGUUUAUUUCAUUCUCCUCAAAGGGCAGCAGCAGGAGAGGGCACGCAAAGGAUCUCAAAAAUGGUUUUAUAGAUACACGGUUACAAACUUUGAAACUAGCUAAUCUUGCUGCUUUUUUCCCUGCCCUUUUCUGGAAAAUGUGGGAGGGAAACAAGUUUGUUAACCAGUGUUUGGAUAAAUGAAGCUUUAAGAGAGUUUUUUUUUUUUUUAAAGAAAUGGAAGAAAAAAAAUCAAAUUAUCAAUAAGGAGUCUUUCGACACCAGGCCCUGAUAGGGUUGAGCUGGAUGGUGACUAGCACUUGUCAUUCCCAGCAAGCACAAUGCAGAGAGCAAAUGCAAAGGACCUGGACUGUAUUGCAUCUCUUAUAGGUAAUCGUGAAAUCAGUCUGCUUAUAGUAGUGUAACCUAACUUAAGAGGUGAGAAGGCAAGGCUUUGGAACGAAUGCCUGUUUUGUUUUUUUUUUCCUCUACAGUAGAAUGAGUGUUGACUAGAGUUUCUGGGAAAGAUUCAGUAAGCAUUCAAGUAACUCUGGUUACUGUGUUGUAAUCCUUUGAACCCAGAAGAGAACAAACCAACCCAUGUUUUGGUGGCUGAGAAUACUUAGCUAUUAAGUGUUACUUGAUAUUCAAAGUAGAGUGGUUCUCCAUUUUGUUUAACCUUGUUAAUACUGGUGUGGCUUCAUAUUUCAGUGUCUUUUCAGUUAUCAGACAGGGCCAGCGUUUUGUUAAACUCUAAACAGUGAAUUAAAAGCACUGAUGAGCUGAAGCAGCCCUCUAAUGCAAAAUGACAAAUUGCACUUAAGCAAUACAUGAACAAGAAAAUGAUUUAUGGAUUUUUACAAUGGUCUGAGCAAGUGAAAGCAACAUGAAUUAUACAUCCUAAUGCUCACAAUAACAUUUUCUAAUAAUACUGUUUCAGUUCAGAUGCUAUACUUUUAUCCUUUCUAUGAGAGAUAUUGAUCAAUACAAACUCCAGGAGUAUUUUUAAAUUAAUGAUGUUUGGUACUGGUUCCACAUAUACAUAUUUUUCUUGAAUAUGAGGUGGGGGAUCAACAUUGCACACACUAACAUUCUUGUUAGCACCUUCACAUGUUGUGUCUUUUAGUGAUGAAUAGGUAGUGUUUUGGAAACUUGUGUUUUGUUCCACACCUUCUUUCAGAAUGUGAACAAAGAGAUUUGAUUUAGGAUGACAGUCUUUAUUACAUCAUGACCUGCUUUUCUGAAAAUGAAAAUGCAUUACCUCAUUUUACCUUUUUAAAAAUUUCUUUGGAUAUUGAAAAAAGUGAUUUCUCCAAAAUGUCUCUUAUCCUCUUCUUAUUGGCUUAUCCUGUUUUGUUUCAGAACAUUGCUUAAUUCUUGAGUGUGUUAAAGACACACCUGAGUUAGUAAAAGGGUACUGUGCCUUAGUUUUUGGUUUUUUUUUUUUUUGAUAUUAGUAGAAAAAAAUAGAUCUUAUGGCUGUCUUAAAUUACAGAAAAAAAACUCAAUCAGAUAAAAUUUUGAAUGGGGGCUUGUUUGUUGAGUCUGAAAAAAUAUCUAGUUACUUCUGUGUUAUGAUAAGUGAUUACUCCUAGCAUUUUUAUUUAACCAUUUACGGCAUAUAUAACUAACUAUUUUAAGGUAUGUGUAGAAUUUAAGUGAAGACAUUGUCUUUGAUGUAUUGCAUAUGAAACCACAGGAAACUUC
RNAcentral lists this long non-coding RNA (2550 nucleotides) under Sus scrofa (pig). Its description in RNAcentral is "lncRNA (ENSSSCG00025011148.1, ENSSSCG00060030394.1, ENSSSCG00180009586.1)". The record is from RNAcentral. Lineage: Eukaryota; Metazoa; Chordata; Mammalia; Artiodactyla; Suidae.